GUUCACUGAUCUUGUCUGAUGUAUUUACACGUACCGUAAAAAAAUGUGUUCGAGUUUGCCUUGAUUUUGUCAAAAUUUGCUAUUGGUUUAAUUUUAAAUUUCAUUUUUCCACCGUGAUUCUAGAGAAUGCUUUCAAGCAAGUUCAACAAUGACUUGGAAGCUUUUAAGUUGGGAAUCAAGUUUUAUAGCAGAAUUACAGUGAAGGUUCCAAUCAUUAUAUAACUUGUGCACCUAUAAAUUUUUUUCUUAACACCAUUGAAGAAUUUCGUCCACAAAAUUUAAAAUUUUGUUUAAAUGUUAUUGUUUAUGUCAAAUUUUUUGAGAAAGCCUAUUUUCCUAACUUGUCUAUUAUUAGUUUAUAUGACAGGAACAAGCUUCGUAUUGGAACAAGAAGUUGUAAGGAUUUUUUAUUUUGUCGGACCGCGUCCAGGUGAGCUUAAGCAUGUUGUGGUCAUUUCCAUCAAAGUUCCAUUAUAACAAAGGUCUUUCACGAACACAAAGAAGUCGACAAUUAGGGAUGCAACUAAUUGAUGGAUGAGCUUCCUUGUUGGGGUUGGUGUGUGAUUUGUGUUUGUAGGAAUUUGAACAUGUUUAAUAUAAUGUACUAGCAAGUCCGAGAAUA
Molecule: non-coding RNA, 622 nt
Organism: Momordica charantia (bitter melon)
Lineage: Eukaryota; Viridiplantae; Streptophyta; Magnoliopsida; Cucurbitales; Cucurbitaceae
Source: RefSeq, a predicted model, not a curated record